RNAcentral lists this ribosomal RNA (253 nucleotides) under uncultured bacterium. RNAcentral's name for it is "partial 16S ribosomal RNA". It matches the Rfam family "Bacterial small subunit ribosomal RNA", at positions 524 to 776 of the family's 1533-position model. The record is from RNAcentral.
UACGUAGGCAGCAAGCGUUGUUCGGAGUUACUGGGCGUAAAGGGUGCGUAAGCGGCUUUUUAAGUCUGGUGUGAAAUCUCCCGGCUCAACUGGGAGGGUGCGCCGGAUACUGAGGGGCUAGAGUGUGGGAGAGGAAAGUGGAAUUCCUGGUGUAGCGGUGAAAUGCGUAGAUAUCAGGAGGAACACCGGUGGUGUAAACGGCUUUCUGGACCAUAACUGACGCUGAGGCACGAAAGCGUGGGUAGCAAACAGG